Molecule: ribosomal RNA, 253 nt
Filed under: uncultured bacterium
Lineage: Bacteria
Description: partial 16S ribosomal RNA
Rfam family: Bacterial small subunit ribosomal RNA
Source: RNAcentral
GACGAACCGAGCGAACGUUGUUCGGAAUCACUGGGCUUAAAGGGUGCGUAGGCGGGCUGCCAAGUUUGAGGUGAAAUCCUCCGGCUCAACCGGGGAAGUGCCUUGAAUACUGGCGGUCUGGAGGGAGGUAGGGGCGUGCGGAACUAACGGUGGAGCGGUGAAAUUCGUAGAUGUUCGCAAGAACACCAGUGGCGAAGGCGGCUCACUGGCCCGGUACUGACGCUGAGGUGCGAAAGCGUGGGGAGCAAACAGG